UUCCAUAUUAUGAGAAUGAUUUCAUUGAUGAAACCUGUAGAGCCCAAUUUUUGCCCGGGCCCAGGCCAACAAUAACCAACCAAAAAUAAUAAAGUUCAAGUCCAUAUUACAAACUCAAAACCCCUAGCCCAAAUAAUACCCAAGCCUAAUCAGCCAACUCUAACCCGAACGGCCCACAUCCCUAGCCCGUUUACAGAAACCCGGCCCAGUUACAUUGAAGCCCAAAACAAAAAACACAAGCAGAAACCCUAGGGUUUCUAGGAUCCCAGCGCCGCAAACCCCCAUGCGUGGCAUCCCCACGUGCUCCUCUGAGCCUUUGCCACUCGCGUCGAGCCGUGCCACGUCAACGUACGGCCUCACGCCAGUGACACCUACAACAAAGACGUCGUACCUGCACAAAGCAACAACGAAAACAAAGGCAGACAACAGCAAGGAAAAAUACAAAAGAAUAGGAGAUUUUUCUGUACUUUUUCUUUUCUUUUUUCUUCAUUUUCGGCUAUAUAGGCCACUUUUUUAGCGUUGGGGGAAGUGACAGACACAUAUUGUAUAAAAAAACAUACAGUGUAAACAAAAAAAUUUCAAAGAGAAAUAAAAAAAAAGUUUCGAAAGGUGAUCUUUUUAGUGAUAUACUCUCUUCAUUUUAGUUUUUUUUUCCUUUUUUUUCUAUUAUUGUAAAAAAGGGACGAGACAGAAAAGAGGGGAAGAAAUACUUACCUCAGAGGUGGGAACACCGCAUCUCGGCUCACCCCGUCGCAAUCGGAGUCUGGGUUGGAGGUGGGGUGCUGAAGCGGCGCGCCGUUUGGGGUAGAGGUUUAGUUUCUUAGGUUUUUUUUUCUUUUUU
RNAcentral lists this long non-coding RNA (841 nucleotides) under Gossypium barbadense (sea-island cotton). RNAcentral describes it as "long non-coding RNA (GBAR_LNC018307)". Lineage: Eukaryota; Viridiplantae; Streptophyta; Magnoliopsida; Malvales; Malvaceae. The record is from RNAcentral.